This 477-nucleotide ribosomal RNA is filed under the name uncultured bacterium. RNAcentral describes it as "partial 16S ribosomal RNA". It matches the Rfam family "Bacterial small subunit ribosomal RNA", at positions 28 to 507 of the family's 1533-position model. The record is from RNAcentral.
GAUUAACGCUGGCGACGUGCAUAACACAUGCAAGUCGAACGAUGAAACUUAACUGAUUUCUUCGGAAUGAUUUUAAGUGGAUUAGUGGCGGACGGGUGAGUAACGCGUGAGUAACCUGCCUUGGAGAAGGGGAUAGCCUUUGGAAACGAAGAAUAAUACCCUAUGAUAUGAUAAUAUCUCAUGAUAUUAUCAUCAAAGAUUUAUCGCUCUAAGAUGGACUUGCGUCUGAUUAGUUAGUUGGUGAGGUAACAGCUCACCAAGGCAGCGAUCAGUAGCCGGCUUGAGAGAGUGUACGGCCACAUUGGGACUGAGACACGGCCCAGACUCCUACGGGAGGCAGCAGUGGGGAAUUUUGCACAAUGGGGGAAACCCUGAUGCAGCGACGCCGCGUGAUUUAGAAGGCCUUCGGGUUGUAAAAAUCUUUUGUAUGGGAAGAAAAUGACAGUACCAUACGAAUAAGGACCGGCUAAUUACGUG